Molecule: ribosomal RNA, 500 nt
Filed under: uncultured bacterium
Lineage: Bacteria
Description: partial 16S ribosomal RNA
Rfam family: Bacterial small subunit ribosomal RNA
Source: RNAcentral
AUUGAACGCUGGCGGAAUGCUUUACACAUGCAAGUCGAACGGCAGCACGGACUUCGGUCUGGUGGCGAGUGGCGAACGGGUGAGUAACAUAUCGGAACGUAUCCAAUAAUGGGGGAUAACGAGUCGAAAGAUUCGCUAAUACCGCAUACGCCCUACGGGGGAAAGCUGGGGACCUUCGGGCCUGGCGUUAAUGGAGCGGCCGAUAUCUGAUUAGCUAGUUGGUGAGGUAAAGGCUCACCAAGGCGACGAUCAGUAGCUGGUCUGAGAGGACGACCAGCCAUACUGGAACUGAGACACGGUCCAGACUCCGACGGGAGGCAGCAGUGGGGAAUUUUGGACAAUGGGCGCAAGCCUGAUCCAGCCAUUCCGCGUGAGUGAAGAAGGCCUUCGGGUUGUAAAGCUCUUUCGCAAGGGAAGAAAACUUAGCCACUAACAUUGGUUGAGGUUGACGGUACCUUGAUAAGAAGCACCGGCUAACUACGUGCCAGCAGCCGCCGUAA